RNAcentral lists this ribosomal RNA (2103 nucleotides) under Triticum aestivum (bread wheat). Its description in RNAcentral is "partial small subunit ribosomal RNA". The record is from RNAcentral. Lineage: Eukaryota; Viridiplantae; Streptophyta; Magnoliopsida; Poales; Poaceae.
AUGGGAGGUGUGGGUAAGACCACUUUGGUUGAUCAUGUGUACAAGGCCGUGAAGACAAACUUCAGUAUUUCUGCGUGGAUAACUGUAUCAAGUAGCUACCAAGUUGGAGACUUGUUAAAACAGAUCGCCAGUGAGUUGGGCAUUAAAGUUGAUGCCACCAACGCAAACAGGAACCUGGUUGAGGUAAUCUGUAGCUAUCUUCAAGGUUCAGAAUAUUUCAUAGUUCUGGAUGAUGUUUGGCAUUUGGAUGUCUGGUUUAAGAUAAGGAAUGCAUUUCCUACAGAAGGCACUGGUCGUUUUGUCAUCACCACUAGAAUUCAGGAGGUAGCAUUGUUGGCAACAAAAAUUUGUACAAUCAAAUUGGAACCAUUAGAAAGACAUUAUGCGUGGCAGUUAUUUUGCAAUGAAGCCUUUUGGAACAAUGGGGACAAAACAUGCCCAAAGGAACUAAAAGAUUUGGCUCAAAUGUUUUUGGAUAAGUGUGGUGGCUUGCCCAUUGCUAUUGCUUGUGUAGGCCGCUUGUUGUCAUGCAGGCAUCUAACUUACUGUCAAUGGGAAAGUUUAUACAAGGAGCUAGAGUCGCAGCUUAGUAAUAAUGUGAUACUCGAUGUUAAUAUUGUUCUGAAAGUCAGCUUGCAGGACCUUCCAACGGAUCUGAAGAAUUGUUUUCUGCACUGCACAAUAUUUCCAGAGGAUUAUCUAUUCGGAAGAAAAGGGGUAAUCAGGCAUUGGAUCGCAGCUGGAUUCAUUAAAAAAACAUCGAACAGAACAUUGGAAGAAGUGGCAGAGGGCUACCUGAACGAACUUGUAAACAGAAGCCUACUGCAGGUUGUCAAGCGGAAUUUGUGUGGCCGAGUUCGCAGGUUCCGAAUGCAUGACAUUAUCCGUGUUCUUGCCCUCGCUAAAUCAGAAGAGGAAUCCUUUUGCCAAGUUUACAAUGGCUUAAGACCCUUUUCGACCGAGAACACGCGUCGUCUGUCAGUUCAGAGUACAAACAUGGAACAACUGGCCCCAUUGUUGUGUGCAACAAGUCUCCGCUCUCUGCAUGUUUUCACGAAUCAUCUGAGUACUGAUUCUCUAGAGGCUUUCCUCAAACCUUUCAACUUGCUGUCAACAUUGGAUCUGCAAGGAGUUCGAAUCGGGAGACUACCUAAGAUGGUCUUCAACUUGUUUAAUCUGCGCUUUCUAGGUCUUCGACAGACCUAUAUUGAGCAUCUCCCAAAAGAAAUAGGAAGGUUACAGAACCUGGAAGUCCUUGAUGCUUGCUAUACUAUGCUAAUGGUGCUUCCCGUGGAAGUAGCCACACUUUGGAAAUUGAAAUACCUGUAUGUGGUUACUUUAGAACCUGGAGCUGUCGAGGUGCCCAAGGGUAUCGGCAAUUUAACUGAUUUGCUGGCCCUGCAACUUAUCAAAGCUAACAGUGAGGUUCUGUGUCAGCUAGGAUGUUUGACCAAACUAAGAACUUUUGGUAUCACUAAAGUUAGGAGUGGUCAUUGUGCAGAUUUGUGUAGGGCAAUCACGAAAAUGGUUCAUCUUGUUCAUGUAACAAUCUAUUCAGUUGAUCGAAGGGAAGUCCUGCAGCUGGAAUCACUUUGCUUACCACCAACUGUAUCAAAAGUUGAGAUAUAUGCACAGCUAGACCAAAGAAUUCUACCUCAGUUUAUCUCAUCCAGUUCAAAGCUUAUUAACCUCACUGAUUUACAUUUGGGUUGGUCCAAAUUAUAUGAAGACUCUUUUGCGUGCAUCUUGGGUUUGCAUGGCUUAGUUACACUUGUCCUUAAUAUGGCUUAUGAUGGAAAGGAGCUGAACUUCCGUGCAACGUCACUUCCAAAACUCAAAUCACUAGAGAUACGGGAUGCUCCAAAUCUCAACAGAGUUACAAUUGAACAAGGUGCGAUGCAAAACAUUGUGAACCUAAGUCUUCUGGACUGUGAAUUGAAGGAUCUUCCUCAUGGCAUCGAGCAUCUUAGAACCCUGGAGUACCUGCAGCUGCAUGAUAUUUCUGAAGAGCUGGCACGGAAGCUUCAGCUGAAUGAGGAAUCAAAGGAAUGUGAUGAAGAUUGGAUGAAAAUUAGCCAUGUGAGACAGGUUGAGUUUCGUUAG